CAGCACCCCAAGUGGUCAGGAUGAUUAUUGGGCCUAAAGCAUCCGUAGCCGGCGCUGUAAGUUUUCGGUUAAAUCUGUACGCUCAACGUACAGGCUGCCGGGAAUACUGCAGCGCUAGGGAGUGGGAGAGGUAGACGGUACUCGGUAGGAAGGGGUAAAAUCCUUUGAUCUAUUGAUGACCACCUAUGGCGAAGGCGGUCUACCAGAACACGUCCGACGGUGAGGGAUGAAAGCUGGGGGAGCAAACCGGAUUAGAUACCCGAGUAGUCC
RNAcentral lists this ribosomal RNA (270 nucleotides) under uncultured archaeon. Its description in RNAcentral is "partial 16S ribosomal RNA". It matches the Rfam family "Archaeal small subunit ribosomal RNA", at positions 477 to 747 of the family's 1478-position model. The record is from RNAcentral.